Molecule: ribosomal RNA, 536 nt
Filed under: Aspergillus fumigatus
Lineage: Eukaryota; Fungi; Ascomycota; Eurotiomycetes; Eurotiales; Aspergillaceae
Description: eukaryotic LSU rRNA
Rfam family: Eukaryotic large subunit ribosomal RNA
Source: RNAcentral
GAGCUCAAAUUUGAAAGCUGGCCCCUUCGGGGUCCGCGUUGUAAUUUGCAGAGGAUGCUUCGGGUGCAGCCCCCGUCUAAGUGCCCUGGAACGGGCCGUCAUAGAGGGUGAGAAUCCCGUCUGGGACGGGGUGUCUGCGUCCGUGUGAAGCUCCUUCGACGAGUCGAGUUGUUUGGGAAUGCAGCUCUAAAUGGGUGGUAAAUUUCAUCUAAAGCUAAAUACUGGCCGGAGACCGAUAGCGCACAAGUAGAGUGAUCGAAAGAUGAAAAGCACUUUGAAAAGAGAGUUAAACAGCACGUGAAAUUGUUGAAAGGGAAGCGUUUGCGACCAGACUCGCCCGCGGGGUUCAGCCGGCAUUCGUGCCGGUGUACUUCCCCGUGGGCGGGCCAGCGUCGGUUUGGGCGGCCGGUCAAAGGCCCUCGGAAUGUAUCACCUCUCGGGGUGUCUUAUAGCCGAGGGUGCAAUGCGGCCUGCCUGGACCGAGGAACGCGCUUCGGCUCGGACGCUGGCGUAAUGGUCGUAAAUGACCCGUCUUG